This is a long non-coding RNA of Lolium rigidum, 859 nucleotides long. RefSeq lists it as uncharacterized. The transcript is spliced from 3 exons. The record is from RefSeq and is a predicted model, not a curated record. Lineage: Eukaryota; Viridiplantae; Streptophyta; Magnoliopsida; Poales; Poaceae.
UAUUUCAUUCUCAAUGGAAUGUACGCAUUACCUGGGCUGCCAGUCGAGAAAAUAUCGCCCAUGUCUUCGAGUAAACUCGAGCUCUCUGGUCAUUUGUGAUAAAGAACUAGAAGCCAAUAUUUCUUCAUCCCGACGUCUCUUGAGUUUGGACUGCGGCAAUCUAGCCAUGCCCAAGUGGAAAAUAUUUCUCAUCCCCAAUGUUGUGAAGUUUUGACUAGGGCACUCUGGCCAAAACUUGGAUCUAUCUUGCAUGAGUCUCUUCCGAAUCAGGUAAAGUGAUUUUCUGUGCAUCCGCCCAUGACAUAACCUUGGACGAUAGAAUUGCGCGCAUACUAAUUUCAUAUGGACCUUGAUCAUCCGUGAUUGAUUUGCGCACCAUUCCUCAUGAUUUCUGUGUCACGUGCUGGUGGCAUGUAGAUUAUAGUCAACAAUUGAUUGUUCACAUAGUCCUGCUUACAAACCAGAGACCUCUAUAAUUUGAUUUUUUUACGGAACUCUAUGAUUUAAGUAUUGUGCGUUGUCCAUGUACAAAAGCAUAGGUUUCAUUAAUUAGAUCAAAAUUUAUGAUUCAUAGAUCUCAUUUUCACAUCUCAAGAACGAUAAUCUUAUUUGCAGAAUAUUAGAGCAAAAAUGCGUUUAUAUUUUUGAAAGAAAGACUGAUGUGGUACAGUCUAUUAAGAGGCCAUGUUUUUUUUUCAGUUACUAUACUGCCAUGAAGUAUUCUGAAGUUGCUGGGAUCUUCAUAUGAUAGUUCUCCUUCGAAGUUACUGGGAUAUUUUACAGUCUAUAGGAUGGCAAUGAACUUGGGAUUUCUAUGUGCAAUAUAGCUCCUUUUUUUCUCUGAUGAUUGGUCCCUAAA